This 402-nucleotide long non-coding RNA is filed under the name Nicotiana benthamiana. Its description in RNAcentral is "long non-coding RNA (NBEN_LNC022444)". Lineage: Eukaryota; Viridiplantae; Streptophyta; Magnoliopsida; Solanales; Solanaceae. The record is from RNAcentral.
CCAAAUGAAAUCCGUGACCCAAAAAUAUCUGCUCCUAUACUAUAUACAUCUUUCAGACUAUAGGGUCCGGUCGGGUGAUCCGGCCCAAAAUUACUCCUAUACUAUAUACAUCUUUCAGACUAUCGGGUCGGGUCGGGUCGGGUCGGGUGAUUCGGCCGAAAAUUAAAUAACUGUGGGCUCAGAUACACAGUCUAGAAUAGGUAAUCAUCAUAGCCCAUUACAAGGUAUAUCAUGGGUAUACAGUAAAUAUACAAUGAAUAUACAAGGCUAUACAAGGCUAUACAAGUCUAUGCAACUCUAUGUCACGUAUAAUCUCUCAUCUCAACACCCCCCCUCAAGUUGGAGGGGGAGACCACCUGCAACUUGAGCAACAAGGGAUGAAGCACAGUGCCAGGCAAAGGC